AUGCAUGUCUAAGUAUAAGCAACUAUACUGUGAAACUGCGAAUGGCUCAUUAAAUCAGUUAUCGUUUAUUUGAUAGUACCUUACUACUUGGAUAACCGUGGUAAUUCUAGAGCUAAUACAUGCGAAAAACCCCGACUUCGGAAGGGGUGUAUUUAUUAGAUAAAAAACCAAUGCCCUUCGGGGCUCCUUGGUGAUUCAUAAUAACUAAACGAAUCGCAUGGCCUUGCGCCGGCGAUGGUUCAUUCAAAUUUCUGCCCUAUCAACUUUCGAUUGUAGAAUAGAGGUCUACAAUGGUUUCAACGGGUAACGGGGAAUUAGGGUUCGACUCCGGAGAGAGGGCCUGAGAAACGGCCGUCACAUCCAAGGAAGGCAGCAGGCGCGCAAAUUACCCAAUCCCGACACGGGGAGGUAGUGACAAUAAAUACUGAUACAGGGCUCUUUUGGGUCUUGUAAUUGGAAUGAGUACAAUUUAAAUCCCUUAACGAGGAACAACUGGAGGGCAAGUCUGGUGCCAGCAGCCGCGGUAAUUCCAGCUCCAGAAGCGUAUAUUAAAGUUGUUGCAGUUAAAAAGCUCGUAGUUGAAUUUUGGGCCUGGCUGGCCGGUCCGCCUCACCGCGUGCACUGGUCCGGCCGGGCCUUUCCUCCUGGGGAUCCGCAUGCCCUUCACUGGGUGUGUCGGGGAACCAGGACUUUUACUUUGAAAAAAUUAGAGUGUUCAAAGCAGGCCUUUGCUCGAAUACAUUAGCAUGGAAUAAUAGAAUAGGACGGCUUUCCUAUUUUGUUGGUUUCUAGGGGAGCCGUAAUGAUUAAUAGGGUCAGUCGGGGGCAUCAGUAUUCAAUUGUCAGAGGUGAAAUUCUUGGAUUUAUUGAAGACUAACUACUGCGAAAGCAUUUGCCAAGGAUGUUUUCAUUAAUCAGUGAACGAAAGUUAGGGGAUCGAAGACGAUCAGAUACCGUCGUAGUCUUAACCAUAAACUAUGCCGACUAGGGAUCGGGCGAUGUUACUAUCUUGACUCGCCCGGCACCUUACGAGAAAUCAAAGUUUUUGGGUUCUGGGGGGAGUAUGGUCGCAAGGC
Molecule: ribosomal RNA, 1076 nt
Filed under: Protoventuria barriae
Lineage: Eukaryota; Fungi; Ascomycota; Dothideomycetes; Venturiales; Venturiaceae
Description: SSU rRNA
Rfam family: Eukaryotic small subunit ribosomal RNA
Source: RNAcentral